CGCAAGCCUGACGGAACAACGCCGCGUGAGGGAUGAAGGCCUCUGGGCUGUAAACCUCUUUUAUCAAGGAAGAAGAUCUGACGGUACUUGAUGAAUAAGCCACGGCUAAUUCCGUGCCAGCAGCCGCGGUAAUACGGGAGUGGCAAGCGUUAUCCGGAAUUAUUGGGCGUAAAGCGUCCGCAGGCGGUUUUACAAGUCUGUCGUUAAAACGUGGAGCUCAACUCCAUUUCGGCGAUGGAAACUGUAAGACUAGAGUGUGGUAGGGGCAGAGGGAAUUCCCAGUGUAGCGGUGAAAUGCGUAGAUAUCGGGAAGAACACCAGUGGCGAAGGCGCUCUGCUGGGCCAUAACUGACGCUCAUGGACGAAAGCCAGGGGAGCG
This 379-nucleotide ribosomal RNA is filed under the name uncultured cyanobacterium. RNAcentral's name for it is "bacterial SSU rRNA". It matches the Rfam family "Bacterial small subunit ribosomal RNA", at positions 376 to 770 of the family's 1533-position model. The record is from RNAcentral. Lineage: Bacteria; Bacillati; Cyanobacteriota.